Molecule: unclassified non-coding RNA, 1219 nt
Filed under: uncultured fungus
Lineage: Eukaryota; Fungi
Description: sequence contains 18S rRNA gene, ITS1, 5.8S rRNA gene, ITS2, 28S rRNA gene
Rfam family: Eukaryotic large subunit ribosomal RNA (bases 355-1219)
Source: RNAcentral
GGAUGGAUCAUUCCUGAAUACACACACCAACCUAAGCACUCGUUGAAAUAACCUUAUACACCUUUCCUAUACAAAACAAAAACUCUCAGCGAUGGAUGACUCGACUCUCGCACCGAGGAAGGACGCAGCAAACCGCGAUAAGCAGUAUGACUUGCGAAAUUUCGUGAUUCACCAGAUUUCUGAACGCAAAGGUACUUCUAGCCUCGGCUUGGAGUAUGUUUGGCUCGGUAUCGUUUAGAUACUCAAACUUCGUUUGAAUGACAUCCAGUGUUUUAACAUCACUGGUGGAUGAUGGAGACUACUUGACACCCUAUCAGUAGACGAAAGGGCUUACAGUAGUUACAGACCGUCUAAUGAUCCGAGCUCAAGCAAGAUUACCCGCUGAAUUUAAGCAUAUAAUUAAGCGGAGGAAAAGAAACCAACUGGGAUUCCCUUAGUAGUGGCGAACGAAGUGGGAAGAGCCCGCGAUGUUAAUCCACCGCCCGGUGGAGUUGUGCAUCGGGGUCUCGGCUAUUCGGCAAGCAAGAAUAAGAUGCCUGGAAAGGCACGCCAGAGAAGGUGACAGCCCUGUUCUUGUCUUGACUUGUCCGGAGUACAGCCGGGAUCCAAUGAGUCACGCUCUUUGGGAGUAGAGCGCAAAAAGGGUGGUAACCUCCAUCCACGGCUAGAUAACGGCGAGAGAUCGAUAGCAAACAAGUACCGUGAGGGAAAGUUGAAAAGCACUUCGAAAGGAGAGUUAAAAUACCUGAAAUCGCUGAGGGGGAAGCGGCUGUCCGUGACCCAAUGCCUGAGGGCCUGCCCUCUUGCAUCACCCGACAUCACUUUGGUAUUUCUUGAGCGGUUUUGGCAAACCAGCCAGUUCCAGUCUCACGAUCUACGAGAGUGUGGUUAUCCAACGAAAGUUGUCGGGAGUGGCAUGUACAGACGACCCGUCUUGAAACACGGACCAAGGAGUUAAACGAAAGUGCGAGUGUAAGGGUAAAAAACCCAGACGCGUAGUGAAAGCAAAAGCUGUCAAUAUCCAUGCAACAGCGGCCGACUAUAAGUUCGAGCUUGAGCAUUUUCGUUUAGACCCGAAAGAUGGUGACCUAUACCUGAGUUGGGUGAAGCCAGGGGAAACUCUGGUGGAAGCUCGUAGCGAUACUGACGUGCAAAUCGUUCGUCAAACUUGGGCAUAGGGGCGAAAGACUAAUCGAACCAUCUAGUAGCUGGUUCCCUC